RNAcentral lists this ribosomal RNA (96 nucleotides) under Xylophilus sp. Lineage: Bacteria; Pseudomonadati; Pseudomonadota; Betaproteobacteria; Burkholderiales. The record is from RNAcentral.
GUUGGUACCACUCCUUCCCAUCCCGAACAGGACAGUGAAACGACUUUGCGCCAAUGAUAGUGCGGAUCCCCGUGUGAAAGUAGGUCAUCGUCAGGC